CCUAUUGCUAGGGAGUAGUGGAGUCAUGCAGCACCCGCCGUAGGGAGUGGAGCAGAAUCAUGGCCGUUAAUACAGCCUGUCAGAGAGUAAUGGGGUCGCGUAGGGUCCGCCGCAGGGAGUGGAGCAGGAUCAUGGCCGUUAAAACAGCCUGUCAGGGAGUAAUGGGGUCGCGUAGGGUCCACCGCAGGGAGUGGAGCAGGAUCAUGGCCGUUAUUGUGGCUUGGGAGUGCAGAUCCAUCGGCUGAAGCUCAACAGUGGUUGGAGCUGAUGACGGAGUUCGGCUCCCGUAGGAGUCCGG
This 298-nucleotide long non-coding RNA is filed under the name Elaeis guineensis (African oil palm). RNAcentral describes it as "long non-coding RNA (EGUI_LNC075171)". The record is from RNAcentral. Lineage: Eukaryota; Viridiplantae; Streptophyta; Magnoliopsida; Arecales; Arecaceae.